UACAGAGGGUGCGAGCGUUGUCCGGAAUCACUGGGCGUAAAGGGCGCGUAGGUGGCGUCGCAAGUCUGUGGUGAAAGCUCGAUGCUCAACAUCGAGUCGGCCACGGAUACUGCGAGGCUCGAGCACUGUAGAGGCAGAUGGAAUUCCGGGUGUAGCGGUGGAAUGCGUAGAGAUCCGGAAGAACACCGGUGGCGAAGGCGGUCUGCUGGGCAGUAGCUGACACUGAUGCGCGACAGCGUGGGGAGCAAACAGG
This 253-nucleotide ribosomal RNA is filed under the name uncultured bacterium. RNAcentral's name for it is "partial 16S ribosomal RNA". It matches the Rfam family "Bacterial small subunit ribosomal RNA", at positions 524 to 776 of the family's 1533-position model. The record is from RNAcentral.